This 478-nucleotide ribosomal RNA is filed under the name uncultured bacterium. RNAcentral describes it as "partial 16S ribosomal RNA". It matches the Rfam family "Bacterial small subunit ribosomal RNA", at positions 28 to 523 of the family's 1533-position model. The record is from RNAcentral.
GACGAACGCUGGCGGCGUGCUUAACACAUGCAAGUCGAACGGUAAGGCCCUUCGGGGUACACGAGUGGCGAACGGGUGAGUAACACGUGGGUGAUCUGCCCUGCACUUCGGGAUAAGCCUGGGAAACUGGGUCUAAUACCGGAUAGGACCACUGCCUGCAUGGGUGGUGGUGGAAAGCUUUUGCGGUGUGGGAUGGGCCCGCGGCCUAUCAGCUUGUUGGGGGGGUGAUGGCCUACCAAGGCGACGACGGGUAGCCGGGCUGAGAGGGUGACCGGCCACACUGGGACUGAGGUACGGCCAAGACUCCUGCGGGAGGCAGCAGUGGGGAAUAUUGCACAAUGGGCGCAAGCCUGAUGCAGCGACGCCGCGUGGGGGAUGACGGCCUUCGGGCUGUAAACCUCUUUCAGCACCGACGAAGCGCAAGGGACGGUAGGUGCAGAAGAAGGACCGGCCAACUACGUGCCAGCAGCCGCCGUAA